GAUGAAGAACGUAGCGAAAUGCGAUAAGUAGUGUGAAUUGCAGAAUUCCGUGAAUCAUCGAAUCUUUGAACGCACAUUGCGCCUUCUGGUAUUCCGGAAGGCAUGCCUGUUCGAGAGUCAUUAACAACCGUUUCGAUCCCUUUCUUUCAGAAAUUACAAAGAGGAAAAGGGUUUGGUUAUGGUGGAGGAGGGAAAGGGAGCGUUUAGCCUGUAAAAAAAGAGGCUGUGUUCCGCCUCCCCCCCCAAAAUUGUACAGGCGGUCGUGUGCGCCCACGCAUCGAGGUGUUGUAAAAGCUGCCACGGCACUUUUCACCUGUGCAGUGCGAGAUUGGCCAGCCGGUUUAAAAACCCCUCCAAACAAUCAAAGGUUGACCUCGGAUCAGGUAGGGAUACCCGCUGAACUUAAGCAUAUCAAUAAGCGGAGGA
Molecule: unclassified non-coding RNA, 426 nt
Filed under: soil metagenome
Description: partial contains 5.8S ribosomal RNA, internal transcribed spacer 2, and large subunit ribosomal RNA
Rfam family: 5.8S ribosomal RNA (bases 1-120)
Source: RNAcentral